RNAcentral lists this unclassified non-coding RNA (252 nucleotides) under uncultured fungus. RNAcentral's name for it is "partial contains 5.8S ribosomal RNA, internal transcribed spacer 2, and large subunit ribosomal RNA". The record is from RNAcentral. Lineage: Eukaryota; Fungi.
ACGCAUAUUGCGCCCUUUGGUAUUCCGAAGGGCAUGCCUGUUCGAGCGUCAUUAUCAACCAUCAAGCCUGGCUUGUUGUUGGACUUUUACUGCUGAAAUAUGUGGUAGGUCCGAAAAAUAAUGACGGUGUCGUGUUUUGACCCUAAAUGCAACGAGCUUUAUAGCACGCAUUGAAGUGGUCAACCGGCCUGGUCUUAACCAUCAUUUUCUAAGGUUGACCUCGGAUCAGGUAGGAAUACCCGCUGAACUUAA